UUUGUGAACAUACCACUGUUUGCUUCGGCGGGAUCGCCCCGGGCGCGCCUCUGGGCGUGUUCCGGAUCCAAGGCGCCCGCCGAGGGUAUCAAACUCUUGCUUUUAUAGCGGACUUCUGAGUAUUAAACAAAAUAAAUUAAAACUUUCAGCAACGGAUCUCUUGGCUCUGGCAUCGAUGAAGAACGCAGCGAAAUGCGAUAAGUAAUGUGAAUUGCAGAAUUCAGUGAAUCAUCGAAUCUUUGAACGCACAUUGCGCCCACCAGUACUCUGGUGGGCAUGCCUGUCCGAGCGUCAUUUCAACCCUCAGGCCCAGCCUGGUGUUGGGGAUUGGCUUCGCAGCCAGCCCCGAAAUGCAGUGGCGGCCUUCCGCAACUCCUCUGUGUAGUAGUAAUACCCGCAUUGGAUAGUGGUUGUGCCUCGCCGUAAAACCUCCAACUCUUCAAGGUUGACCUCGGAUCAGGUAGGAAUA
Molecule: ribosomal RNA, 469 nt
Filed under: Ascomycota sp. OY20707
Lineage: Eukaryota; Fungi; Ascomycota
Description: eukaryotic LSU rRNA
Rfam family: 5.8S ribosomal RNA (bases 141-294)
Source: RNAcentral